RNAcentral lists this ribosomal RNA (420 nucleotides) under uncultured bacterium. RNAcentral's name for it is "bacterial SSU rRNA". It matches the Rfam family "Bacterial small subunit ribosomal RNA", at positions 356 to 773 of the family's 1533-position model. The record is from RNAcentral.
AGGGAAUAUUGGGCAAUGGGCGAGAGCCUGACCCAGCCAUGCCGCGUGCAGGAAGAAGGCUUUCUGAGUCGUAAACUGCUUUUGACAGGGAAGAAUAAGCACUACGUGUAGUGCGAUGACGGUACCUGCAGAAUAAGCACCGGCUAACUCCGUGCCAGCAGCCGCGGUAAUACGGAGGGUGCGAGCGUUGUCCGGAUUUAUUGGGUUUAAAGGGUGCGUAGGCGGCCCGUUAAGUCCGGGGUGAAAGCCCGCUGCUCAACAGCGGAACUGCCCUGGAUACUGACGGGCUUGAGUACAGACGAGGUUGGCGGAAUGGACUGAGUAGCGGUGAAAUGCAUAGAUACAGUCCAGAACCCCGAUUGCGAAGGCAGCUGACUAGGCUGUUACUGACGCUGAGGCACGAAAGCGUGGGGAGCGAAC